UGGGGAAUAUUGCACAAUGGGCGCAAGCCUGAUGCAGCCAUGCCGCGUGUGUGAAGAAGGCCUUCGGGUUGUAAAGCACUUUCAGCGAGGAGGAAGGUGGUGGAGCUUAAUACGUCAUCAAUUGACGUUACUCGCAGAAGAAGCACCGGCUAACUCCGUGCCAGCAGCCGCGGUAAUACGGAGGGUGCAAGCGUUAAUCGGAAUUACUGGGCGUAAAGCGCACGCAGGCGGUUUGUUAAGUCAGAUGUGAAAUCCCCGGGCUCAACCUGGGAACUGCAUUUGAAACUGGCAAGCUAGAGUCUCGUAGAGGGGGGUAGAAUUCCAGGUGUAGCGGUGAAAUGCGUAGAGAUCUGGAGGAAUACCGGUGGCGAAGGCGGCCCCCUGGACGAAGACUGACGCUCAGGUGCGAAAGCGUGGGGCAGCAAACAGGAUUAGAUACCCUGGUAGUCCACGCUGUAAACGAUGUCGAUUUUGGAGGUUGUGCCCUUGAGGCGUGGCUUCCGGAGCUAACGCGUUAAAUCGACCGCCUGGGGAGUACGGCCGCAAGGUUAAAACUCAAAUGAAUUGAC
Molecule: ribosomal RNA, 569 nt
Filed under: uncultured bacterium
Lineage: Bacteria
Description: partial 16S ribosomal RNA
Rfam family: Bacterial small subunit ribosomal RNA
Source: RNAcentral